GGCAUUUUGGGAGCUCAUUGGCUUCGGGUUCCAUCGAAACUCCGAAGUUAAGCGAGUAGCGCGCGAGAGUAAUCCCAUGAUGGGUGACCCACUAGGAAGUUCUUGUGUGAGUUCCCAUUAACAAAACCGUGAGGGCGUGGUUGGGGUCCAAAGCGGACAAUAUCGUGUUAUGGUGGUGGACUCGGGUCGGGAUGUGACAAAUGGUAUCAGAGCCUAACCCUGGCUGUGGUGUGCCGACGAGGAAGUCGGGCCCCUAAAGGGGUGGAUUGUAACAUCCCACAUCGCCCAGGGGAGUGAUCCUUAAAUGUAUAUUCCCAUCUCUACCUAGCAUGAGGCUUUUUGGGAGCUCAUUGGCUUCGGGUUCCAUCGGAACUCCGAAGUUAAGCGAGUAGCGCACGAGAGUAAUCCCAUGAUGGGUGACCCACUGGGAAGUUCUUGUGUGAGUUUCC
Molecule: small RNA, 449 nt
Filed under: Malus domestica (apple)
Lineage: Eukaryota; Viridiplantae; Streptophyta; Magnoliopsida; Rosales; Rosaceae
Source: RNAcentral